GCCUUUGUGGUGUAAUGGUCAGCACACUCGGCGCGUAUUCGAGAGGUCCAGGGUUUGAGUCCCGGCGAGGAUA
Molecule: transfer RNA, 73 nt
Filed under: Stegodyphus mimosarum
Lineage: Eukaryota; Metazoa; Arthropoda; Arachnida; Araneae; Eresidae
Rfam family: tRNA
About the family: Transfer RNA (tRNA) molecules are approximately 80 nucleotides in length. Their secondary structure includes four short double-helical elements and three loops (D, anti-codon, and T loops).
Source: Rfam by way of RNAcentral